CAAUGAGGCAUUGCAACAUUGUCUCCCCUCCCCGCGCGCGCCCAUUGGCUGCCGGCCGUUCUAGAGCCGGCCCGCGCGCCGCGCCAUUGGCCGGCGGCCCCCGCCGGGGACACACCGCGUUCCAUUGAUGUCCGGCGGCCCCGCCCGCGCCCGCCCCAGGUGUGAAUGCCCGCGGCUCGGGGGGGUCCUGUCUUUCCUUUCCUUUCCUUUCCUUUUUUUAAAGGUGAUCUCUUUGAUUGCAUCAGCUCUGCAGUGGGGAUCGAGUCGUGGAAGCCGCUGUGUGGUUGGGUGAUCGAGUUACCGGAUCGAGUCUGUCGCUGCGAUCAGUUUACGGGAUCAGAUGCGCCGUUGGGAUCAGGUUUUCAGAUCAAGUGUGUUUUUGAAUCGAGUGUGGACUUGGGAUCAAGUUAUUAGGUCAGGUGCGCCGUUGAGAUCAAGUGUUUUAAGCAAGUUUGUGGAUCAAGUUUUCAGAUCAGGUGUGUAGAUGGGUCAAGUUUUUGAGUGUGUAUUUGGGAUCAAGUUAUUAGAUCAGGUGUGUAGUUCAGAACAAGUUUGGGGAUCAGCUGUGUAGCUGGGAUCCAGUUUGUACUCAGGAUCAAGUUUUUUAUGAGGUAUGUAGCUGAGAUCAAGUUAUCAGAUCAAGUGUGUAGUUGGGAUCAAGUUUUUUAAUCAAGUGCAUUGGGAUCAAGUUAUUAGAUCAGGUGUGUAGUUCAGAUCAAGUUUGGGAUCAGCUGUGUAGCUGGGAUCAAGUUUUUUGAUCAAGUGUGUACUUGGGAUCAACUUUUUUAUGAGCCAUGUAGCUGGGAUCAAGUUUUGGGAUUCGCUGGGAUCAAGUGUGUACUUGGGAUCAAGUAAUAAAAGAUAUCAAAUUCACCCAAGGAACCUUGUCUACUUGGGAUCAAGUUUUUUAUGCCGUGUGUAGCUGAGAUCCAGUUAUCGGAUCAAGUGUGCACUUGGGAUCAAUUUUUUGAAUCAAGUGUGUUGGGCUCAAGUUAUUAGAUCAGGUGUAUAGUUCAGAUCAAGUUUUUGGAUCACGUGUGUCAUUGGGAUCAAGUUAUCAGAUCAAAUGUACAGAUGGGGUCAAGUUAUUAGAUCAGGUGUGUAGUUGGGAUCAAGUUAUCAGAUCAAGUGUAUACUUGGGAUCAAGGUUUUGGAUCAAGUGGUUGGUUGGGAUCGAGUUACACCAGCUUUGGAAUGCAAGGCAUUCUUCUUCAGGUCUCUGAUUAUUAAAAGGGGGAUUAAACAGCAGAAGGCACGGCCUCGUGGGUCCAGCUCCAGCACGCCACAUGACCGGGUGUUUCAACAGGAUGCACAGACGUAGCACCCUUCUGGCAAAGAUCACCUGGGCUAGGGACAAAAAUGACACAAAACCAGGUGAAAGGUGUGUGGAAGGCCUUUUAAACAGGCCUUGAUCUCCCAGGAAUCAGCUUCUUUUCUUCUGCUAGUUGUGUUUGCUACCUUUGGGAGUUGCUCUCACCUCCUCCCCACUGCUGUUUUUCACUGUAUACCAAUGACCAACCCAUACAGAGCAAUAUAAGGAGCUUCAUAUAUGCUGAUGAUCUACGCAUCACGUUGCAAGAGAAGGACUUUGCCGCUGUCAGGAAUGGACUGACAUGUGCACUGAGCAACCUCUCAGAUCUUUACAGUAAGAACCAGCUUUGCACCAACCCAGCCAAGAUGCAGGUCACAGCCUUUCACCUAUGCUAUAGAGAGGCCAAGUGGAAAUUAAACAUCACCUGGGAUGGAAAUCUUAUUGACUAAUCACCCCAACCCUGUGUACUUGGGGGUGCUCUGAUGAGUCUUGCAUUAGAAAUCUUGUCUAACUUUAUCCCAACUAUGUAAUUGGUCCAAUAAAGGAUAUCACUCUCAGAAA
This is a long non-coding RNA of Alligator mississippiensis (American alligator), 1873 nucleotides long. RefSeq lists it as uncharacterized. The transcript is spliced from 2 exons. The record is from RefSeq and is a predicted model, not a curated record. Lineage: Eukaryota; Metazoa; Chordata; Crocodylia; Alligatoridae.